RNAcentral lists this ribosomal RNA (496 nucleotides) under uncultured Streptococcus sp. RNAcentral describes it as "bacterial SSU rRNA". It matches the Rfam family "Bacterial small subunit ribosomal RNA", at positions 28 to 508 of the family's 1533-position model. The record is from RNAcentral. Lineage: Bacteria; Bacillati; Bacillota; Bacilli; Lactobacillales; Streptococcaceae.
GACGAACGCUGGCGGCGUGCCUAAUACAUGCAAGUAGAACGCUGAAGGAGGAGCUUGCUUCUCUGGAUGAGUUGCGAACGGGUGAGUAACGCGUAGGUAACCUGCCUGGUAGCGGGGGAUAACUAUUGGAAACGAUAGCUAAUACCGCAUAAUAGUAGAUGUUGCAUGACAUUUACUUAAAAGGUGCAAUUGCAUCACUACCAGAUGGACCUGUGUUGUAUUAGCUAGUUGGUGGGGUAACGGCUCACCAAGGCGACGAUACAUAGCCGACCUGAGAGGGUGAUCGGCCACACUGGGACUGAGACGCGGCCCAGACUCCUACGGGAGGCAGCAGUAGGGAAUCUUAGGCAAUGGACGGAAGUCUGACCGAGCAACGCCGCGUGAGUGAAGAAGGUUUUCGGAUCGUAAAGCUCUGUUGUAAGAGAAGAACGAGUGUGAGAGCGGAAAGUUCACACUGUGACGGUAUCUUACCAGAAAGGGACGGCUAACUACGUGC